GAUGAAGAACGCAGCGAAAUGCGAUAAGUAGUGUGAAUUGCAGAAUUCUGGAAUCAUCGAAUCUUUGAACGCACAUUGCGCCUUCUGGUAUUCCGGAAGGCAUGCCUGUUCGAGAGUCAUUAACAACCGUUUCGAUCCCUUUCUUUCAGAAAUUACAAAGAGGAAAAGGGUUUGGUUAUGGUGGAGGAGGGAAAGGGAGCGUUUAGCCUGUAAAAAAAGAGGCUGUGUUCCGCCUCCCCCCCAAAAUUGUACAGGCGGUCGUGUGCGCCCACGCAUCGAGGUGUUGUAAAAGCUGCCACGGCACUUUUCACCUGUGCAGUGCGAGAUUGGCCAGCCGGUUUAAAAACCCCUCCAAACAAUCAAAGGUUGACCUCGGAUCAGGUAGGGAUACCCGCUGAACUUAAGCAUAUCAAUAAGCGGAGGA
Molecule: unclassified non-coding RNA, 424 nt
Filed under: soil metagenome
Description: partial contains 5.8S ribosomal RNA, internal transcribed spacer 2, and large subunit ribosomal RNA
Rfam family: 5.8S ribosomal RNA (bases 1-119)
Source: RNAcentral